Molecule: long non-coding RNA, 452 nt
Filed under: Androctonus crassicauda
Lineage: Eukaryota; Metazoa; Arthropoda; Arachnida; Scorpiones; Buthidae
Source: RNAcentral
ACUGGUAGUUCUCGCUUAGUUUUUUGAAAUAUGAAAUAUCAGAAAAAUUGAAAAUAUGAACAUUAAUUGUAAUAAAUAAAUGCUACACAUUUAUAAAAAAGCAUUUCAAAUCAUAUGUGUAGCUAUACAAUACUGUACUAUUGCAUAUGUAGCAAUUUGGGUAUGUAUUGGGUGGGUUAGCAAUUUUAAUUUCAUUAUAAACUUUUCAAAAUCUGUCAUCUGCUACAAAAUUGGAAAAAUCGAAAUGGUGGUUGAAAAGCAGCAGCAGCACGUCCUUUUUUUACUGGCAUAUUAUGUAAUUAAUUUUCUAUUCUUGAUUUCUUUCUAUGGCAGUAAUUCAUUUGUAGAAAAGAUCAUCUACUUAUCUAUUUAAUAAUAAUAAUUAAAAAUUUUUUAACAUUUAUAUGACACAAAUAAUUUCUUUAUUAAUAUAAUUUACUUGAUUUUAAAUG